Molecule: unclassified non-coding RNA, 242 nt
Filed under: plant metagenome
Description: partial contains small subunit ribosomal RNA, internal transcribed spacer 1, and 5.8S ribosomal RNA
Source: RNAcentral
UCUCCGUUGGUGAGCCAGCGGAGGGAUCAUUACAGAGUUUUCACAACUCCCAACCCUUGCGAACCGUACCCAUUCUGUUCUUGUUGCUUCCGGCGGGGGGGACGGGGGGGCCCGAAACGGCCUCCCCGCCCCGCCCGCCGGGGGCGGCGGGCCCUACGAACCUUUAUAUCUCAACCACCAGACACCGUCUGAGAAAACAAACAAAAUAAUCAAAACUUUCAACAACGGAUCUCUUGGCUCUG